Molecule: ribosomal RNA, 642 nt
Filed under: Serratia sp. EAG-EC-13
Lineage: Bacteria; Pseudomonadati; Pseudomonadota; Gammaproteobacteria; Enterobacterales; Yersiniaceae
Description: bacterial SSU rRNA
Rfam family: Bacterial small subunit ribosomal RNA
Source: RNAcentral
CUGUAAACGAUGUCGACUUGGAGGUUGUGCCCCUUGAGGCGUGGCUUCCGGAGCUAACGCGUUAAGUCGACCGCCUGGGGAGUACGGCCGCAAGGUUAAAACUCAAAUGAAUUGACGGGGGCCCCGCACAAGCGGUGGAGCAUGUGGUUUAAUUCGAUGCAACGCGAAGAACCUUACCUACUCUUGACAUCCAGAGAAUUCGCUAGAGAUAGCUUAGUGCCUUCGGGAACUCUGAGACAGGUGCUGCAUGGCUGUCGUCAGCUCGUGUUGUGAAAUGUUGGGUUAAGUCCCGCAACGAGCGCAACCCUUAUCCUUUGUUGCCAGCACGUAAUGGUGGGAACUCAAAGGAGACUGCCGGUGAUAAACCGGAGGAAGGUGGGGAUGACGUCAAGUCAUCAUGGCCCUUACGAGUAGGGCUACACACGUGCUACAAUGGCGUAUACAAAGAGAAGCGAACUCGCGAGAGCAAGCGGACCUCAUAAAGUACGUCGUAGUCCGGAUCGGAGUCUGCAACUCGACUCCGUGAAGUCGGAAUCGCUAGUAAUCGUAGAUCAGAAUGCUACGGUGAAUACGUUCCCGGGCCUUGUACACACCGCCCGUCACACCAUGGGAGUGGGUUGCAAAAGAAGUAGGUAUGCUUAA